CCUACGGGUGACAGCAGUGGGGGAUAUUGCACAAUGGGGGGAACUCUGAUGCAGCGACGCCGCGUGGGUGAAGAAGCGCCUCGGCGCGUAAAGCCCUGUCAGCAGGGAAGAAAAUGACGGUACGUGAAGAAGAAGCCCCGUCUAACUACGUGCCAGCAGCCGCGGUAAUACGUCGGGUGCAAGCGUUAUCCGGAUUUACUGGGUGUAAAGGGGGCGCAGACGGCGUUACAAGGCAGGAGUGAAAGUCUGGGGCCCAACCCCAGGACUGCACUUGGAACUGCGUGGCUGGAGUGCAGGAGGGGCAGGCGGAAUUCGUGGUGUAGCGGUGAAAUGCGUAGAUAUCAGGAAGAACACCGGUGGCGAAGGCGGCCUGCUGGACUGCAACUGACGUUGAGGCCCGAAAGCGUGGGUAGCAAACAGGAUUAGAUACCCUGGUAGUC
This 440-nucleotide ribosomal RNA is filed under the name uncultured bacterium. Its description in RNAcentral is "partial 16S ribosomal RNA". It matches the Rfam family "Bacterial small subunit ribosomal RNA", at positions 338 to 795 of the family's 1533-position model. The record is from RNAcentral.